CUUUGCCUCUGCACAGGUUUUGAUAAAUCUCCCCUUAUAUGUGGGAUUGUCAAGAAAUAUCUGACUACUGGGAGCAAGUAUUGAACAUUCUUGAAGUUUAACUCAUGGAUGGCAUUGUGUCUCAGGGCUCUUUGGAUCACUGAAAAUAAUCUAGGACACCUGUGAUUAUUUGAUUGCCAGAAUAAUAUACAAAAAAGGAGAUGAUCCGCUCACCCUUUCAGCAGCAAGUCCAAUAGUCCCAAACUGGCCAGGUGCACGGGGUGUGAUAGCCACCAUCACGGUGAAGACUGAAAGGAGCAACUCCCUGGGGGAGAAAACCAGCACUCCAGUUCCAGUCAGGGAUAAAGAAAAUGAAAUUAUGGCCACUACAACUACCAUACCGGACCUCAACAAAAGACGAGAAACUAAAAUUCCAUUAUAUUUUGAGUUACGUGAUCAGGUUACUUUAAUGGAACUUAAAUUACAGUAUGACAGUACUGAGAGAUAUACAGUGUCAUCUACUUCAACGAGACUCAGAAUCAGAAUCAAAAAUGAACAUUUUUAUCCCAUACAGUCUAGGUCCCCCCACAUGAAUUCCUUCCAACGUGUAGUUGAGAGGGAACUUUUUGAAUUGGAGAGAGCAACUGCUGCAAGUAGUUUGCCGUUUCACAUGACAAUCAGAGACCGCAAAGCAUUAAAGGAACUGCAAGAGUUCUCUGAUAUUAAAAUCAAGUCAUCUGACAAAGGUGGCUCGGUCGUCGUGUUGGACCGUGAACUACUGUAGAUUGUAAACAGGUGUGGGAUAUGUUCAGCGACAGCACCACAUAUCGUAAACUUAAUUCUGACUCCACUACUGACAUACAAAAUAAAUCAAACACUAGAGUUUUUUUUCACGUAAGAUGGAGGAGUCACUUUUUGUUUCAGAACCAACCAUGUCCAAUCUUCCAUUGUCUACAUAAGAUACACAAAAAUAUAUUCCCUCCCCCUCUCCGCCCAAUAGUUUUGGGCAUUGGCUCAAUGAGAAGCUCUCGAUGUGGUUGGAUAGUCUAUUACAACUGCUAGUCACCAGAGUCCCUCAGUACAUACAAGACACCAAAGAUCUUUUGGUGUCUUUUAAGGAUUUCAAAUGGGAAGCUGAUAUGACAUGUAUUUCAUGUGAUGUUGCUUCUUUCUAUAGUGUCAUACCCCAUGACUGUGCCCUUAUGGCACUUUAGUACCAUUUCAAUACUUAUAGUAAUUACAACUCUGAUCUCAAAAACUGCAUAUUAGAUGUCACGUAUCUUUUACAUACCAAUAAUUAUUUUUCGUUUUAUGGAUCUUUCCUCCUUCAGGUCAGGGGUUGUCCGAUGGGGGUCCCUCUUUGGCCAACCUCUACAUAGCCUAAUGGGAGGAAAGAUCCAUCCACACCACAGCCAAUCCCUUUCUACGCCACAUCGCGUGGUAUGGACAAUAUAUUAAUGAUAUAAUUGCGGUGUGGCGGGGACCGAGUGACCAUCAUACCAUCUCUUCCUUUACACAGUAUCUUAACAACAAUACAGACAAUUUAUUUAUCACAUAUAAUUCCCACCCAAAUGAAAUGAUUUUUUGGAAUGUUUGUUUUCUUUUUGUUUGUUUUAAAAAAAAAUGGCUAUUAAACAUACCGGUAUAGUCAGUAUAAAAGGAUACACAAAAAUUGUACUAAUCAUGCAAAUUUUAAAAUACAGUCUACAACUCUACAAGAACGCUUCAAAGAGAAACAUUAUCCCACUAAAGUAUUAAGUAACGCUUACCACCGUACCAAAAUACUCACUCAGGAAGAUUGUUUGGUGACCAGCUUCAAGCAGAAAGAUGAAGACAAAGAAAAAGCUUCAUUUUCAGCCCCUUUCAUUACUACCUACAGCAAUGAUGCCCGUCUCAUCAGAAGAAUAGUCACACGCCAUUGGCGUGUAUUACAAAUAGAUCCUCAUUUUUCCAAAACUAUCCCCCAGCAACCUCAGUUAAUGUACAGAAAAUUGGCAUCACUGAAGUCUAUUCUGGCCCCAAGCCAGAUUAGGAGACAGCAGAAUAAAGACAUCACUCACACUGAUCUUCUAGGGAGACCGCUCAAAAAAGGGAGCUACAAGUGCAAGAAGGCCCAUUGCCUUUGCAGUCGGCAGAUCUCCAAUGGCUUGUCAAAUUUUACUUCCUCAUUGACAGGUAAGAAUUUUCCUAAAAAAUUUCAUCUUACUUGAUCAUGUCAUUUACAUGAUCCAGUGUCCCGAUUGUCCACUACAGUAUGUAGGAUGCACCACUCAUCCUCUUCCUCUCAGAUUGAACCAGCACAGACAAAACUUAAAAAAGAAGUUUUUGCUCCACGGAGUUUCCAAACAUGUCACUAUAUCACAUCCAAACAGUGUAAAGCCAAUUUCAAUUACACCCAUUGAUCACGUACCGGCUUCAACAAACAACAGAUUUGAACAGCUGAAGAGACUGGAAAUGUUCUGGAUGUAUAAGAUGCACACGUUAUCCACGUUAUCUCCCCAUGGUCUCAAUGAGAUGAGAGAAAUUAUCACAUGAACACCAACACUCACAUUUGCUAUACUUUGUUAAUACAUCAUGGCCUCCCACUACUGACAAUCUAAUUGAUGAUCUAAUUGAUUGUAACAACUAUACAUACCUGUAUACGGCAUCACUCUUUUCAUGUCCUUUGUGCAUGUCUUCCGCAGUCCAGACCCAUGAUACGUUGUCCUAUUUUUGGAUCCAUUUACUAUUCAACAUCAUCUCUACUGAGCAGGUCUCUCAAUACAAAUAUGCAUCACUGUCCCUUUCUUUACGCACCAUCUUGCAACCACUGUAUCUGGAGGCUCAUGAGAUACGCCCCAAACCAUACUACGGUACUCCACAAUCAUAUGUAUAUAUAUAUAUAUAUAUAUAUAUAUAU
Long non-coding RNA from Hyla sarda, 2878 nucleotides. RefSeq lists it as uncharacterized. The record is from RefSeq and is a predicted model, not a curated record. NCBI's taxonomy places the organism in Eukaryota, Metazoa, Chordata, Amphibia, Anura, Hylidae. The transcript has 4 exons.